Molecule: ribosomal RNA, 468 nt
Filed under: uncultured bacterium
Lineage: Bacteria
Description: partial 16S ribosomal RNA
Rfam family: Bacterial small subunit ribosomal RNA
Source: RNAcentral
GACGAACGCUGGCGGCGUGCUUAACACAUGCAAGUCGAACGGAAAGGCCCUGCUUUUGUUGGGUGCUCGAGUGGCGAACGGGUGAGUAACACGUGAGUAACCUGCCCUUGACUUUGGGAUAACUUCAGGAAACUGGGGCUAAUACCGGAUAGGAGCUCCUGCUGCAUGGUGGGGGUUGGAAAGUUUCGUCGGUUGGGGAUGGACUCGCGGCUUAUCAGCUUGUUGGUGGGGUAGUGGCUUACCAAGGCUUUGACGGGUAGCCGGCCUGAGAGGGUGACCGGCCACAUUGGGACUGAGAGACGGCCCAGACGCCUACGGGAGGCAGCAGGGGGGAAUAUUGCACAAUGGGCGGAAGCCUGAGGCAGCAACGCCGCGUGCGGGAUGAAGGCCUGCGGGUUGUAAACCGCUUUCGCCUGUGACGAAGCGUGAGUGACGGUAAUGGGUAAAGAAGCACCGGCUAACUACGUG